GACGAACGCUGGCGGCGUGCUUAACACAUGCAAGUCGAACGGAAAGGCCCUGCUUGCAGGGUACUCGAGUGGCGAACGGGAGAGUAACACGUGGGUGAUCUGCCCUGCACUUCGGGAUAAGCCUGGGAAACUGGGUCUAAUACCGGAUAUGACCUUCCAUGUAGUGUGGGGGGUGGAAAGAUUUAUCGGUGUGGGAUGAGCCCGCGGCCUAUCAGCUUGUUGGUGGGGUAAUGGCCUACCAAGGCGUCGACGGGUAGCCGGCCUGAGAGGGUGGACGGCCACAUUGGGACUGAGAUACGGCCCAGACUCCUACGGGAGGCAGCAGUGGGGAAUAUUGCACAAUGGGCGGAAGCCUUAUGCAGCGACGCCGCGUGGGGGAUGACGGCCUUCGGGUUGUAAACCUCUUUCGACAGGGACGAAGCUUCGGUGACGGUACCUGUAUAAGAAGCACCGGCUAACUACGUG
This 465-nucleotide ribosomal RNA is filed under the name uncultured bacterium. Its description in RNAcentral is "partial 16S ribosomal RNA". It matches the Rfam family "Bacterial small subunit ribosomal RNA", at positions 28 to 507 of the family's 1533-position model. The record is from RNAcentral.